UACGUAGGGUGCAAGCGUUGUCCGGAAUUAUUGGGCGUAAAGAGCUCGUAGGCGGUCUGUCGCGUCGGCUGUGAAAUCCCGAGGCUCAACCUCGGGUCUGCAGUCGAUACGGGCAAACUGGAGUGUUGCAGGGGAGACUGGAAUUCCUGGUGUAGCGGUGAAAUGCGCAGAUAUCAGGAGGAACACCGGUGGCGAAGGCGGUGGUCUGGGCCGGCACUGACGCUGAGGAGCGAAAGCGUGGGUAGCAAACAGG
RNAcentral lists this ribosomal RNA (253 nucleotides) under uncultured bacterium. RNAcentral describes it as "partial 16S ribosomal RNA". It matches the Rfam family "Bacterial small subunit ribosomal RNA", at positions 524 to 776 of the family's 1533-position model. The record is from RNAcentral.